RNAcentral lists this ribosomal RNA (544 nucleotides) under Salmonella enterica subsp. enterica serovar Weltevreden. RNAcentral describes it as "bacterial SSU rRNA". It matches the Rfam family "Bacterial small subunit ribosomal RNA", at positions 992 to 1533 of the family's 1533-position model. Lineage: Bacteria; Pseudomonadati; Pseudomonadota; Gammaproteobacteria; Enterobacterales; Enterobacteriaceae. The record is from RNAcentral.
AGAACUUUCCAGAGAUGGACUGGUGCCUUCGGGAACUGUGAGACAGGUGCUGCAUGGCUGUCGUCAGCUCGUGUUGUGAAAUGUUGGGUUAAGUCCCGCAACGAGCGCAACCCUUAUCCUUUGUUGCCAGCGGUCCGGCCGGGAACUCAAAGGAGACUGCCAGUGAUAAACUGGAGGAAGGUGGGGAUGACGUCAAGUCAUCAUGGCCCUUACGACCAGGGCUACACACGUGCUACAAUGGCGCAUACAAAGAGAAGCGACCUCGCGAGAGCAAGCGGACCUCAUAAAGUGCGUCGUAGUCCGGAUUGGAGUCUGCAACUCGACUCCAUGAAGUCGGAAUCGCUAGUAAUCGUGGAUCAGAAUGCCACGGUGAAUACGUUCCCGGGCCUUGUACACACCGCCCGUCACACCAUGGGAGUGGGUUGCAAAAGAAGUAGGUAGCUUAACCUUCGGGAGGGCGCUUACCACUUUGUGAUUCAUGACUGGGGUGAAGUCGUAACAAGGUAACCGUAGGGGAACCUGCGGUUGGAUCACCUCCUUACCU